Molecule: ribosomal RNA, 301 nt
Filed under: uncultured bacterium
Lineage: Bacteria
Description: partial 16S ribosomal RNA
Rfam family: Bacterial small subunit ribosomal RNA
Source: RNAcentral
CAGUAGCCGCGGUAAUCCGUAGGGUGCAAGCGUUAAUCGGAAUUACUGGGCGUAAAGCGUGCGCAGGCGGUUCGCUAAGACAGAUGUGAAAUCCCCGGGCUUAACCUGGGAACUGCAUUUGUGACUGGCGGGCUAGAGUAUGGCAGAGGGGGGUAGAAUUCCACGUGUAGCAGUGAAAUGCGUAGAGAUGUGGAGGAACACCGAUGGCGAAGGCAGCCCCCUGGGCCAAUACUGACGCUCAUGCACGAAAGCGUGGGGAGCAAACAGGAUUAGAUACCCCUGUAGUCCCUGUCUCUUAUAC